CAGGCAGCUCUUAAGUGCGGUCAGCAGCCUGCUUGCCAAGCUCCUGCGCGGGUUAUGCCCCAUCCACGUGGCAGAUAUAUUUACUUGCUAUGCUGUCAAGAUUUUCCUUUGUACGUAUCUGCUCUGUCAGUGCCAGGUUUGGCUCCGUGCCGUCUCGGAGGAGAGAGGCCGUGCUGAGGACGGGCUGGCUGCACGCUCGGUGCAGCCGUGGAGACGGUGCGAGGAGCAGGGGUGGGACCGGCUCCUGCGCCACCGCCGCCGGGGUCUGCUGAGAAACACCUGGGAAGUGGUGAUCAGAGGGGGAUCUGUGUCGGGAGCGGAAGGCGCUCGCUGMACGUGCUCUGCCAGAUCCUCGGCGGCUGUAAGUCGGUAUAACUGCAUUAAUUUUAGCGGCGCUGUUGUGCCUGCUGAUGGCCAGGCCUUUGAUGUUGCUCGUUACACGGGYUUUUGGGGAAGGAGCCAAGAGAUGAAGGGAGGCGCAGUUAAUACAUUUGAAUAAAUAAGUAAUAACAUUUUAUAGCCUCUAUUCUCUUGCUUUUUCCAGCGUUAGAGUAGCUCCAGGUUGCCACUGAGGUUGGACACAUAUCCGCACUGUACAACGUGGGUAACUGGAAUAUUUAGCAGGUAUCAGRCUACUCACAUUUCACAUUUUAAUUGGCUCUGAAUGGGGGGAAAAAAAGACAGAAAUUUUCAUAAUGCYGAAUAUGAAGAUGAUUAAGACAACUUUGUUUUCUUUCCCAGCAGUGAAAUGGGCAGGUGAAUGUAUCGGCGUGAGCGUGUACAUGGUAUGGUUUGCAGUGGGGAGGCCGUAAGAGAAAUCAGACAGUCUGGAAAACGCACUCUUUUCCUUCACAACAAAGCUCUCACAGCAGAGAACAAAGUUACGGCGAGCCCGUCUUCUUUUUUUUUUUUUCCAUAAAAGCCUUUGUUUAAAGCUCUGUGGGUUGGAUUUUCAGAGCUGCCGAGCACCCCGCAUUCGGGUUUCUUUUAACUGGAAAUGUAGGUGUUCAGCAGCUCCAGCAGCCGGGGCCUCUCCUGAUGCCUGCGGAGUAGUUGCAGAAAGUGUGUGAGACAUUACUGUAAUGAGGGGCUAAUUCUGCCUCUCCUCCCUGCCUCUCAGAGCAGAUGAAAGGGUGCCUGCGAGUCAURUUAUACGCAUGGAAAAUGGGGGCCCUGAUGUGCUGGCCCUGGCUCCACGGGGCAGGGAUGCUCUCCUGUCACAACCGGCACCGAGUCACAUCUGCAUUCCCAGUGUAAGGCCCGUUUUUAAGGACUCCUAGUUUGGCUA
RNAcentral lists this long non-coding RNA (1288 nucleotides) under Dromaius novaehollandiae (emu). Its description in RNAcentral is "lncRNA (ENSDNVG00000004804.1)". Lineage: Eukaryota; Metazoa; Chordata; Aves; Casuariiformes; Dromaiidae. The record is from RNAcentral.